AUUGAACGCUGGCGGCAUGCCUUACACAUGCAAGUCGAACGGUAACGGGUCCUUCGGGAUGCCGACGAGUGGCGAACGGGUGAGUAAUAUAUCGGAACGUGCCCAGUAGUGGGGGAUAACUGCUCGAAAGAGCAGCUAAUACCGCAUACGACCUGAGGGUGAAAGGGGGGGAUCGCAAGACCUCUCGCUAUUGGAGCGGCCGAUAUCAGAUUAGCUAGUUGGUGGGGUAAAGGCCUACCAAGGCAACGAUCUGUAGUUGGUCUGAGAGGACGACCUGCCACACUGGGACUGAGACACGGCCCAGACUCCUACGGGAGGCAGCAGUGGGGAAUUUUGGACCAUGGGCGCAAGCCUGAUCCAGCAAUGCCGCGUGCAGGAAGAAGGCCUUCGGGUUGUAAACUGCUUUUGUCAGGGAAGAAAUCUUCUGGGCUAAUACCCCGGGAGGAUGACGGUACCUGAAGAAUAAGCACCGGCUAACUACGUGCCAGCCGCCGCAGUAA
Molecule: ribosomal RNA, 500 nt
Filed under: uncultured bacterium
Lineage: Bacteria
Description: partial 16S ribosomal RNA
Rfam family: Bacterial small subunit ribosomal RNA
Source: RNAcentral